Molecule: ribosomal RNA, 582 nt
Filed under: Triticum aestivum (bread wheat)
Lineage: Eukaryota; Viridiplantae; Streptophyta; Magnoliopsida; Poales; Poaceae
Description: partial small subunit ribosomal RNA
Source: RNAcentral
AUGGGAGCUUUCCCUUCACCGCCCCCAUGGGGGUGGUCCACAGGGUUCAUAACUACCCCUCUUACUACGGGGCGUUUACCUAGCCAACACUUAGAUCCGGCUCUACCCAAACUUUUUUGGUUCACCCCAACAUUACCCACUUGUCCGACUGUUGCUAAGCAGUUUUGGGAUACUAAACGGACCUCCCCAGAUGGUAAUCUUAAAGUGGCCGAUUUACCCUCUUUUGCAAUGAGUUUCGCUACAGCACCUGCUGCUCUAGCUAAUUGCCCACCCCUUCCACGUGUGAUUUCUAUGUUAUGCAUGGCCGUGCCUAAGGGCAUAUCGGUUGAAGGGCGCUUCCGGUUCUGUGCGUGCUUCAAACAAUUUUGUCUUCUCCAUAUUACCAUAUGUCUAGAUGAUCGAUUUCUAGGUUUCGUCGUAAACCUAAUUGGUUACUUCCAAUUACGUAAAUCAAUAGUUCAAACCGCACUCAAAGGUAGGGCAUUUCCCAUUGAUAUAGGAACUUUUGUACCAGAAACAAUAGUAUCUCCAAUUAUAGCCCCUCUGGGAUGUAAAAUAUAUCUCUUCUCACCAUCCCCAUAG